This 71-nucleotide transfer RNA is filed under the name Marmota monax (woodchuck). RNAcentral's name for it is "tRNA.Ala". It matches the Rfam family "tRNA". From Rfam's summary of the family: Transfer RNA (tRNA) molecules are approximately 80 nucleotides in length. Their secondary structure includes four short double-helical elements and three loops (D, anti-codon, and T loops). The record is from RNAcentral. Lineage: Eukaryota; Metazoa; Chordata; Mammalia; Rodentia; Sciuridae.
GGGGUUGUGGCUCAGCGGUAGAGCGCUCGCCUAGCAUGUGCGAGGCCCUGGGUUCCAUCCUCAGCACCACA